UAACUUUUGUUAUUAAAAAUUGGUCUAGUGUAAUAGUAGCCCUUGUUUUUUCAAUAUUAUGGAAAAUACAAAAAGCAUCAGAAAUAUACUAAUUAUUCAGACCACUCUAGCAGUUUGUGUUUUUCCACUGUUAUUUCCUAUUCCUGUUCUAAUUUGGUGAGCUUCAUUAAAAACACAUUACUCAUUUCAGUUCAUUUUACCCAUUUACAGGUGUUUGCCCAUUAUGUUAUGAUCUUGCUCCUAAUUCUAGUCUCCCCCUCCCUCUCUCUCUCUCUCUCUUGUUAACCAACGUCUCUCUUUUUCCCUCCUAAAUCAAAAAUAUCCAUGGGGACAAAAUUUCUUUCUGUUUUUGGAGGGGACAAAUCUACAUCCAAAAGAAGGAGCACCCUUGUUAUUUCUGUCCUGGCAAUUUUAUUCUGCUGCGCAUAUACCAUCUGUUCAGUAUCCGGUAUUGCAUAUAGCACACUUUCAAUUCGCUUGUAAGUUUUUGUUUGUUUCUUUUGGCUGUCUUAGCUUAUAGCCAUGAUUUCACUCUAAAAAUGUUGAUUGGCAGGUACUAUUUCUUUUUCACCAGUGUGUUCCUGGUUCCAAGAAAAGUGCAGGAACAUAUAGUGGAAUCUCAGUAUAAACUUGUUGAAAGAAUGGAUGAUGCUUCCAUCAUGUUUUGGCUGUGACUAUAGGAUUAGAUUUGUCUCUGGAAUUUUCAUUUUAGCAUAUGUGUUGACUAUACUUCAUGCAUUUAUUAGAGAUAACAUAUGGUGACCUGGAUCAUAAUCCCCUUUUUAUAUUAAUAAAAUCCAGAUUUAUAACAAAGUAGUGGAGGGAAAGAGGCUAUAAUAAAGAGAUAGGAGACAGAGAUAACUCAUUUCUCCAAUACAAGCAAGUCAUCUGUGGGAAGAGGAGUGGGAUGUUCCUAGUUUAUAGUCCUUUAGUGAUAAGGCAUGCAGUCAGCCCUCUGUAUCGCCACGUUCGGCACAGUGGAUUUAGCCAAUGACAGAUGGAAAAUAUUUUUUAAUCUCGAUAAAAAAUAAUACAACAAUUAAAAAUAUUAAAAAUAAAAGCAAUACCAUACAACAACUAUUCACAUAACUUUUACAAUGUGUUAAGUGUUAUAAGUAAUCUAGAGAUGAUUUAAAGAAUAUAGGAGGAUGUGCAUAGUUAUAUGGAAGUACUGUGCCAUUUUAUGUCAGGCACUGGAGCAUCUUUAGAUUUGGGUAUCCCAAAGUUUCCUGGAACCAGUCCCCCAUGGAUAUAUAGGGAACACUGUACAAAAAAAUGGUUCCAGGUUUCUUCCCGCUUUGAAAUGUAAACAUGUCUGUCCAGAGAUAACUCUGUAUUUCUCUGGAGGUUUUUAUCUAUUCAAUUAUCCCUUAACUUCCAAGAUUUUUCUUUUAGUGCAGGUUUUUGUGCAAAGUUGCUUUGGCCACUCCAGGUCUUUCAGAUUUUCAAAUACUUGUUUAGAAUUAGCUUGAGAACUUAAAUAGCAACAAAGCCUUGAUGGGUUUAGAGAUUGC
Molecule: long non-coding RNA, 1514 nt
Filed under: Homo sapiens (human)
Lineage: Eukaryota; Metazoa; Chordata; Mammalia; Primates; Hominidae
Description: long non-coding RNA NONHSAT191725
Source: RNAcentral